ACUCAAAGGAAUUGACGGGGGCCCGCACAAGCAGCGGAGCGUGUGGUUUAAUUCGACGCAACGCGAAGAACCUUACCAGGGCUUGACAUGCACAGGAAUGUCGUGGAAACACGGCAGCCUUCGGGCCUGUGCACAGAUGCUGCAUGGCUGUCGUCAGCUCGUGCCGUGAGGUGUUGGGUUAAGUCCCGCAACGAGCGCAACCCUCGUCGCUAGUUGAUUUUUUCUAGCGAGACCGCUGCGCGAAACGCAGAGGAAGGUGGGGAUGACGUCAAGUCAGCACGGCUCUUACGUCCUGGGCUACACACACGCUACAAUGGGCGGUACAAAGGGUUGCCAAGCCGCGAGGCGGAGCUAAUCCCAUCAAAACCGUCCUCAGUUCAGAUCGCAGGCUGAAACUCGCCUGCGUGAAGGCGGAGUUGCUAGUAACCGCAGGUCAGCACACUGCGGUGAAUACGUUCCCGGGCCUUGCACACACCGCCCGU
This 482-nucleotide ribosomal RNA is filed under the name uncultured bacterium. RNAcentral describes it as "partial 16S ribosomal RNA". It matches the Rfam family "Bacterial small subunit ribosomal RNA", at positions 899 to 1397 of the family's 1533-position model. The record is from RNAcentral.